Molecule: non-coding RNA, 142 nt
Organism: Myotis davidii
Lineage: Eukaryota; Metazoa; Chordata; Mammalia; Chiroptera; Vespertilionidae
Source: Rfam
ACCCUCUGGCAAUGGGUAAGAAGACACCUGAUUGGUGGUGUUGCUCUAUCAAUCAGGGGCAAAGCAGAUGUGUAGUCCUUAGUUCAUCCUGGUUUGAUGGCUAUGUCGGUGGCCAGAGCUGUUUCAUGCCUGAGGCACAUAA